Molecule: ribosomal RNA, 212 nt
Filed under: Enoploides sp. 21 JAL-2013
Lineage: Eukaryota; Metazoa; Nematoda; Enoplea; Enoplida; Thoracostomopsidae
Description: partial 18S ribosomal RNA
Rfam family: Eukaryotic small subunit ribosomal RNA
Source: RNAcentral
UAGGACAAAACCAAUCGGGCUUGCCCGCUAUUUGGUGAAUCUGAAUAACUAUGCCGAUCGCACAGUCCUCGAACUGGCGACGUAUCUUUCAAAUGUCUGCCUUAUCAACUUUCGAUGGUAGUUUACACGGCUACCAUGGUUUUAACGGGUAACGGAGAAUUAGGGUUCGACUCCGGAGAGGGAGCCUGAGAAACGGCUACCACAUCCAAGGA